RNAcentral lists this ribosomal RNA (643 nucleotides) under bacterium SL3.48. RNAcentral's name for it is "bacterial SSU rRNA". It matches the Rfam family "Bacterial small subunit ribosomal RNA", at positions 57 to 666 of the family's 1533-position model. The record is from RNAcentral.
GCAGUCGAGCGCGGGAAGCGAGCGGAUCCCCUUCGGGGGUGAAGCUCGUGGAACGAGCGGCGGACGGGUGAGUAACACGUGGGCAACCUACCUGUAAGAUCGGAAUAACCCCGGGAAACCGGGGCUAAUGCCGGGUAAUACUUUUCUUCGCAUGAAGGAAAGUUGAAAGAUGGCCUCUGGCUAUCACUUACAGAUGGGCCCGCGGCGCAUUAGCUAGUUGGUGAGGUAACGGCUCACCAAGGCAACGAUGCGUAGCCGACCUGAGAGGGUGAUCGGCCACACUGGGACUGAGACACGGCCCAGACUCCUACGGGAGGCAGCAGUAGGGAAUCUUCCGCAAUGGACGAAAGUCUGACGGAGCAACGCCGCGUGAACGAUGAAGGUCUUCGGAUCGUAAAGUUCUGUUGUUAGGGAAGAACAAGUGCCGUGCGAAUAGAGCGGCACCUUGACGGUACCUAACGAGGAAGCCCCGGCUAACUACGUGCCAGCAGCCGCGGUAAUACGUAGGGGGCAAGCGUUGUCCGGAAUUAUUGGGCGUAAAGCGCGCGCAGGCGGUUCCUUAAGUCUGAUGUGAAAGCCCACGGCUCAACCGUGGAGGGUCAUUGGAAACUGGGGAACUUGAGGACAGAAGAGGAGAGUGGAA